AGGCAAGAUGUUGGCAUAACUGA
RNAcentral lists this microRNA (23 nucleotides) under Schmidtea mediterranea. RNAcentral's name for it is "sme-miR-31a-5p". Its record names the gene sme-miR-31a-5p. Lineage: Eukaryota; Metazoa; Platyhelminthes; Tricladida; Dugesiidae. The record is from miRBase by way of RNAcentral.